AGAUGAUGAUUAUUCCCCACCUUCUAAGAGACAAAGACCAACGAGCCACCACAGCCACCAGUCCCAGAACCUGCCAAUGCUGGGGAACGGAAAAUGAGGGAGUUCAACUCUGGCCCUCACAAUCCAGUGGAGGAGACGAAACUCAUCUGCCUCUGUCCCUCUGGGCACGCCUCAUGCCAGGUGCAUCUGUGGACAGGGGCCAUGCCCCUGGGCUUCCAAAGUUGGAGAGAGCUGCCAGGCUCAGGUCUGAAGGCCAGAAUUCUACAGUAAGUCCUACUGAGUCAAGGUGGGAGCAGGGUCGGUAGCUUCCGAGGCUCUGCGGGAGAAUCCGUUUCCUGGCCGUAGAGGUGGCCUGCACUCCGCAGCUUGUGCUGCCCGUCUCGAAUGACUGGAGUUUCCUGCUUCUGUCACUACACCUCCCACCCUCUCCAUCACCUGCUCUGCUCUUACAAGGAUCCGAAGAAAUGGAAUCAUCGUAUCGCUGAUCUACGUAAACAAACUGAAGAAUUGUCUGAAAGAAAAUAUGACAUGAACUUAUGAAUUCAACAGGUGAAGAUUUACAACUUGAUAAAUCAACUUUGUCAGCUCGAGCUGUAAAAGCCAAAGGUCCGGUGAUGAUCCCAUACCCUUUUUUCCAGUCUCAUGUUGAAGAUUUUUAUGUAGAAGGCCUUCCCAAAGGAAUUUUUUUUUUUUUUUUUUUUUUGAGAUGGAGUUUUCACUCUUAUCGCCCAGGCUGGGGUGCAAUGGCGCAACCUUGCUGGUCACUGCAACCUCUGCCUCCUGGGUUCAAGAAAUUCUCCUGCCUUAGCCUCCCAAGUCACUGGGAUUACAGGUGCCCACCACCAUACCAGGCUAAUUUUUGUAUUUUUAGUGGAGAUGCGGUUUCACCAUGUUGGCCGGGCCAGUCUCGAACUCCUGACGUCAAGUGAUCUUCCCGCCUCGACUCCUGAUAUCAAGUGAUCUUCCCGCCUC
RNAcentral lists this long non-coding RNA (972 nucleotides) under Homo sapiens (human). RNAcentral describes it as "non-protein coding lnc-OR4F29-3:6". Lineage: Eukaryota; Metazoa; Chordata; Mammalia; Primates; Hominidae. The record is from RNAcentral.